GAGGCAGACUAAGUCCCCAUCCUCAUGGAGCUUCAGGAACAGCAGUGGUGACAUACAGUAAACAAGAGUGUGAACACGUGUGGUGUGAUUUCAUGUGGAGAUGGUGCUAUAAGGAUGAGUAGAGCAGGAUAGGCCGGGCAUGGUGCCUCACGCCUGGAAUCCCAGCACUUUGGAGGGCUGAGGCAGGCAGACCAUUUGAGGUCAAGAGUUUGAGACCAGCCUGGCCAACAUGGUGAAACCCCGUCUCUACAAAAAAAUACAAAAAAAAGUACCCAGGCAUGGUGACAUGUGCCUGCAGGUCCCAGUUACUUGGGAGGCUGAGACAGGAGAAUCGCUUGGAUCCAGGAGGUGGAGGUUGCAGUGAGCUGAGGUCACACCACUGCACUCCAGCCUAGAAAGCAGAGAGAGACCCUGUCUCAAAAAAAAAAAAAAAGAGUAAAGCAGGAUACAGAAUUGGAGUGACAGAGUAUGCUCUUUUGAAAGAUGGUCAAGGUAGGUUCAAUUAGAAACCUACCUAACGAAGGCAGCAACACAUGCCAAGAUGUGGGCGGAGAGCAUUUCAGGAGAGGACGCAGCAAGUGUGAAGGCUCUGGGUGGAAAUGAGCUUGGUGUGCUCCAGGAAAAGCAAGAAGCCAAGAAAGCCUGGACUGCAGAGUGUUUGGGAGUCAGUAAGAGGAGGCAGAGCCUGAGAAGCAGGCAGGGUACCUUGUGCAGGACCUUAAAGCAUACGGGUUUGCAGGGAAGACAGUGAAGUAAUGCUACUCCGUUUCCUGGAUCCUCUAUCACUAUAUCAGAUGGAGUCUUGCUCUGUCCCCAGGCUGGAGUGCCCUGGCGCGAUCUCAACUCACUACAACCUCUGCCUCCCGGGUUCAAGAAAUCCUCUUACCACAGCCUCCUGAGUAGCUGAGAUUACAGGCAUGCAUCACCAUGCCAGGCUAAUUUUUCUAUUUUUGGUACAAAUGGGGUUUCACCAUGUUGGCCAGGCUUGUCUCGAAUUCCUGGCCUCAAGUGAUUUAGCCUCGCGGCGUCCCACAGUGCUGGGAUUACAGGCAGGAGCCACCACACCUGGCCUAGGGCACGUCCUUUCUAUAUAAAUUUUAGAAUGAGCUUAUCUAUAUCUACAAAAAAGCCUUGCUGAGAUUUUAAUAGGAAUUGCCUUAAACCUACAGAUUGAUUUGGAGAGAACUGAUAUCUUUACUAUGUUGAAUCUUCCAAUUCAUGAACAUAAGAUAUUUUUCCACUUAUUUAAGC
This 1251-nucleotide long non-coding RNA is filed under the name Callithrix jacchus (white-tufted-ear marmoset). RNAcentral's name for it is "lncRNA (ENSCJAG00000051554.2)". The record is from RNAcentral. Lineage: Eukaryota; Metazoa; Chordata; Mammalia; Primates; Cebidae.